CCUGAUAUGAUGAUUCUAACUUUGACUUUCGUUCUUCUGAGAUUAUCUGAAGUAACUGAUCAAAUCUGAUGUGG
Small nucleolar RNA from Rana temporaria (common frog), 74 nucleotides. RefSeq annotates it as small nucleolar RNA SNORD59. The record is from RefSeq and is a predicted model, not a curated record. Lineage: Eukaryota; Metazoa; Chordata; Amphibia; Anura; Ranidae. The transcript has a single exon.